Carassius gibelio (silver crucian carp) is the source of this 498-nucleotide long non-coding RNA. RefSeq lists it as uncharacterized. The record is from RefSeq and is a predicted model, not a curated record. Lineage: Eukaryota; Metazoa; Chordata; Actinopteri; Cypriniformes; Cyprinidae. The transcript is spliced from 3 exons.
AUUAUUAAGCAUUUCCUAACAGUUGUCUUUGUGUUUUACGUCAUCUUUAACAAGUUUCGUAGCUUAAUCGAAGUCACCUGAAGGACGGCUUUCCUCAGCAACGGCAAGGCCCGCACUCCUCUCAUAUUGUGAAGUUUAACAAGUUUCGCGGCUCAAGCAAGAGGCACCUGUCACUGAAGGACUGCUUUUCUCAGCAACGACGUGAACAGCAUUACUCGAAUUUCCUGGUUCAUCUGAUCUACCCGUCUUCGUACAAGCAGAGUUGGCAGAGGAUGUCAAAAAUCUACAUCCUUCGGGACAAUGAUGGGGCAGUCAGCAAUGUAGGAGUUGUGAUUGAGGGCAUCACUGUCCUCCGCAAUCUUGGGAAUCUCAGCAGAGCCUGCUGCUAUCUUUUGGGAGUCACGUAUGCAUUGUAUUUGAGAUAUCCCAAGACCCACAAAUACAGGUCCUUCUCAAAAAAUUAGCAUAUUGUGAUAAAGUUCAUUAUUUUCCAUAAUG